Molecule: ribosomal RNA, 253 nt
Filed under: uncultured bacterium
Lineage: Bacteria
Description: partial 16S ribosomal RNA
Rfam family: Bacterial small subunit ribosomal RNA
Source: RNAcentral
UACGAACUGUGCGAACGUUAUUCGGAAUCACUGGGCUUACAGGGUGCGUAGGCGGCUCAACAAGUCAGGUGUGAAAGCCCCCGGCUCAACCGGGGAACUGCGCUUGAAACUGUUAGGCUCGAGUCAGCUAGAGGUACACGGAACUUCCAGUGGAGCGGUGAAAUGUGUUGAUAUUGGAAGGAACACCGGAGGCGAAAGCGGUGUACUGGGGCUGGUCUGACGCUGAGGCACGAAGGCCAGGGGAGCAAACGGG